Molecule: long non-coding RNA, 913 nt
Organism: Cyprinus carpio carpio
Lineage: Eukaryota; Metazoa; Chordata; Actinopteri; Cypriniformes; Cyprinidae
Source: Ensembl
GUCAAAAACUGAAGCGUGGUCAAGCGCCUCUAGCGUCACUGACAUGAGAUGUUUAUCGCUUUGAAAUCACGUUCAAGAAGUCUCAUUCAGCACACAUCGCGAUACUUGCCAUCAGUUUACAAGAGCCGCAGGUUGGGUGAGUUAUACAGUCUAUGCUGAAAAGACAUAAAGGAAGCAGUCACCCCAGUGGUGUUUGUGGAGAGGUAUUCCUUCAGAAAUGGAGAAGACAGAAAGCUGCAGAGGCAGGAUUGUUUGCAGAUAAUGCUGUUCUUCUUUUUCAGAAGUUUUUGGUGAGCCAACUCUCACAAACCUUCCUAAAAACUAAAAGAGCUAUUACUGAGUCUCGGCUAAUCUUGCCAUGGUCAGCUCUUCCCAGAAGAGAAGGAAGACCAAGGAAAUUAUUUGCUCAGGAUGAGAAAUGAAGAUGGCCAUCUUGUGCUCAAACAAACAGAAGUCCUCUGAUGAUCUCAUCAGCCAAAUGAGGGGUUUUGACCAAGUGAUGCUCUUGAAAGGAGUGAAAGAAGAGGAUGUGGUAAAUUGUCUUAAAGCAGCCUGAAGAAUGGUCUGGGAUGUUAGGACUGAGAGAUCCUCUGACUGAGAGAAGCUACACCACAUCAGUGCUGGAUAUCAACCACAAACUGUUUCCAGACACGAGAGAAGAAGAUCAUGAUGGGGAGAUGAAACCAGUUUAGAUGUGAUGAUAAGGAAUCAUUAUUUUCUGAAACAGGAUCAAAUGUCUUAUAUGUAUCACAUGAUCUGUAUCACAGUUGACUGGAUGGGACUGUGUGACUCUUAAGGACAUUUCAUCACUCAUCUGUGUGAACUGAUUAAUAUAUGAGGUUAAUGUAUUUUUGAUUAUGAAUAAUUAUUUUCCUUGAAUCUUAUUUGUCUUGAUGCUACUUUAUCAUCUGUA